Molecule: ribosomal RNA, 482 nt
Filed under: uncultured bacterium
Lineage: Bacteria
Description: bacterial SSU rRNA
Rfam family: Bacterial small subunit ribosomal RNA
Source: RNAcentral
UGAACGCUAGCGGCAGGCCUAAUACAUGCAAGUCGAACGGUAACAUGAGUAGCAAUACUUGAUGACGAGUGGCGCACGGGUGCGUAACGCGUAUGCAAUCUACCUUUAACUGGUGAAUAGCCCGAAGAAAUUCGGAUUAAUACACCAUAGUAUAUUUGAAUGGCAUCAUUUAAAUAUUAAAGUUCCAACGGUUAGAGAUGAGCAUGCGUGACAUUAGCUAGUUGGUGAGGUAAUGGCUCACCAAGGCUACGAUGUCUAGGGGAUCUGAGAGGAUUAACCCCCACACUGGUACUGAGACAGGGACCAGACUCCUACGGGAGGCAGCAGUAAGGAAUAUUGGACAAUGGUCGCAAGACUGAUCCAGCCAUGCCGCGUGCAGGAUGACAGCCCUAUGGGUCGUAAACUCCUUUUGAAGAGGAAGAACAUUUUCGAUCGAAUCGAAAACUGACUGUACUCUUAGAAGAAGCCCCGGCUAACUACGU